GCGCUGCGGCGGCCUACACAUGCAAGUCGAGGGGUACGCUGAACUUGUUUCAGUGGAGACCGGCGCACGGGUGCGUAACGCGUAUGCAAUCUACCUUGUACAGGGGAAUAGCCCAGAGAAAUUUGGAUUAAUGCCCCAUGGUAUAAUUGAAUGGCAUCAUUUAAUUAUUAAAGUUCCAACGGUACAAGAUGAGCAUGCGUCCCAUUAGUUAGUUGGUAAGGUAACGGCUUACCAAGACUAUGAUGGGUAGGGGUCCUGAGAGGGAGAUCCCCCACACUGGUACUGAGACACGGACCAGACUCCUACGGGAGGCAGCAGUGAGGAAUAUUGGGCAAUGGGCGGAAGCCUGACCCAGCCAUGCCGCGUGCAGGAAGACGGUCCUAUGGAUUGUAAACUGCUUUUAUACGGGAAGAAACACUCCGACGUGUCGGAGCUUGACGGUACCGUAAGAAUAAGGAUCGGCUAACUCCGUGCCAGCAGCCGCGGUAAUACGGAGGAUCCAAGCGUUAUCCGGAAUCAUUGGGUUUAAAGGGUCCGUAGGCGGGUCUAUAAGUCAGUGGUGAAAUCCGGCAGCUCAACUGUCGAACUGCCAUUGAUACUGUAGGUCUUGAAUAUUUGUGAAGUAGCUAGAAUAUGUAAGUGUAGCGGUGAAAUGCUUAGAUAUUACAUGGNAAUACCGAUUGCGAAGGCAGGUUACUAACAAAUUAUUGACGCUGAGGGACGAAAGCGUGGGUAGCGAACAGGAUAGAUACCCUGGUAGNCCCGCUGUAACGAUGGAUACUANCUGNUGGUUGGGC
RNAcentral lists this ribosomal RNA (797 nucleotides) under uncultured bacterium. Its description in RNAcentral is "bacterial SSU rRNA". It matches the Rfam family "Bacterial small subunit ribosomal RNA", at positions 33 to 832 of the family's 1533-position model. The record is from RNAcentral.